GAUGAACGCUGGCGGCGUGCCUAAUACAUGCAAGUCGAGCGAACAGACGAGGAGCUUACUCCUCUGACGUUAGCGGCGGACGGGUGAGUAACACGUGGAUAACCUACCUAUAAGACUGGGAUAACUUCGGGAAACCGGAGCUAAUACCGGAUAACAUGUUGAACCGCAUGGUUCAACAGUGAAAGACGGUCUUGCUGUCACUUAUAGAUGGAUCCGCGUCGCAUUAGCUAGUUGGUAAGGUAACGGCUUACCAAGGCAACGAUGCGUAGCCGACCUGAGAGGGUGAUCGGCCACACUGGAACUGAGACACGGUCCAGACUCCUACGGGAGGCAGCAGUAGGGAAUCUUCCGCAAUGGGCGAAAGCCUGACGGAGCAACGCCGCGUGAGCGAAGAAGGUCUUCGGAUCGUAAAACUCUGUUAUUAGGGAAGAACAAAUGUGCAAGUAACUAUGCACGUCUUGACGGUACCUAAUCAGAAAGCCACGGCUAACUACGUG
RNAcentral lists this ribosomal RNA (497 nucleotides) under uncultured bacterium. RNAcentral's name for it is "partial 16S ribosomal RNA". It matches the Rfam family "Bacterial small subunit ribosomal RNA", at positions 28 to 507 of the family's 1533-position model. The record is from RNAcentral.